UGGGCGUAGGAUAUUUGAGAGGAGUUGUCCUUAGUACGAGAGGACCGGGAUGAACGAACCUAUUGUGCACCUGUUGUCGCGCCAGCGGCAUAGCAGGGUAGCGAAGUUCGGAAGGGAUAAACGCUGAAGGCAUCUAAGCGUGAAACCCACCUCAAGAUAAGAUAUCCCAUAUCGUAAGGUAGUAAGACCCCUUGAAGACUACAAGGUGAUAGGUCGGGUGUGUAAGCGCAGUAAUGCGUUGAGCUAACCGAUACUAAUAGGUCGAGGGCUUGAUCAC
Molecule: ribosomal RNA, 277 nt
Filed under: Candidatus Caccalectryoclostridium excrementigallinarum
Lineage: Bacteria; Bacillati; Bacillota; Clostridia; Christensenellales; Christensenellaceae
Description: partial 23S ribosomal RNA
Rfam family: Bacterial large subunit ribosomal RNA
Source: RNAcentral